AGUGUGGCCGGGAGGUAGUGAGACCAAGAGGUAGUAAAAGGAGGGAGGUGGUGUGGCUGGGAGGUAAUGAGGCUGGGAGAUUAUGAGACCGUGCGGUGCUACUAUAGGCCUACCAGGAUAUUUACACUGUAGUCCAGAAAACUGCGAGGGCAAAGUUUUUCGUAGUGAGAAUUGUGAACUCUUGGAACAACUUGCCAGAGCCUUGUGACGGCACCGAGGGUUAGACUGGAGCAGGUUCAGAUACAUUCAGUAGCCAGUGCUUGCCAACUAUACAUAACAGAGAUGUAACCGAUCAGUCACUUGGCUAAAAGGUUCAGUCUUGGUCUUUAUUUUGUAGCCAAGACUGAGUGACUAGCGGCGAUAUGUAUAGUAUAUUACUUCUUUUACCAAAUUAGCUGUAGGAUAAUUAUUGCCUGCCCUCAUACACACCAGAAAGGUUAGCAAGUUUAAGAUGGUGUUUUUUGUGCGUGAGUGGAAUAUAUUAAAGAUAUUUAUAGUAGAAGAUAUUUGUAGUCAGUAGUGUGUGAGAUCAAUGGGAUAAUAGUGUGAACUAAAACAUAGACUUUCCUAAAUUAUAACUUCUAUUGGGUUUAAUUAGGUGGUUAGACUGGUAAAAACAUAAUUCUUUAAGUUACUUUGACUUGUUCUAAGUAUAUACAGGAAUAAGAACAUUUGACUGUAGCAAGGGUAAAUAUUUAGUAGUUGCCAACACUUACCUGUAUAUUGAGUUUUAUAUAGGGAGAAUUAGAAGGAAAAAUAAUUAUCUAGGAUGUCACAGCUGCUGAUUUUUCAUAUAAAAAAAUCAUUCAAAAGUUCCAAGAUUUCACCUUGUUUUAUUGUCGACAUUGUCAAAGAUCUGGAAAAUAUUUUAAAAAUGGUUAUUUCUUAACUAAACCUCACCUAAUCUUAGUUUAUAAGAAAAACAAGCAGCAGAAGCAUUGUCAGAAGACCUCACCAACCUAACCAAAGAAACUUACCUAACUUCCUAUUCAUGAGACUCAACCCUCUGGACCCCUGGCAUAUUAAACAUAAAGAACUUACUAUGAUAUGGUGUAAUUUAAUGUUUUUUGUGUACAUGAGAGAAGUGUUCCAUGUGUACUGCUGAAUAAUUUCCAUAAAAAUUAUUAUUAUAUCAGACCUCACUGAUGAAAAUUUAGUAAGAAUAUAAACAUCAAAGCAAAUAACACAUCAGCUGUACCGUCCUUGACAUGAUAAAUGUUUGUUUAAUGGUUGUGGCUCCUUUUUGUGAUGAGAAUAACAGCCUCUUCUCAUAUCAAUUUCAAAUACCAAAUCUCUUUCAGCAGUGUUGAAACCUAACCUACCCUAACCAGACCUAACCUAACCUAAUCUAACCUAACCUAACCUAAUCUAACCUAAUCCUAGAUUAACCAUAUACAAAAAUCUUGCCACAGCCAUUAAACGAAUAUUAACCAUUGAUAUUAGCCAGAAAAGCUAUAAAAGAUUAUUCUAGAACAUUUCUGUCAUAAAUUUGUAAUUUAAUUUUUUUACCAACAAUAUUAGUUGCUCAAAGUCGUGUAGCAUGGCUUUGAAGUAAAACGGAAAUGUGGGAUAAAAUACUAAAAAGAUCACCAAACAAAUCUGAGAACAUCAUUACCACCAAAAGGAGUCGUUCAAUUUCGUUCAUUUAUUCCACAGUUGUUCUUAUCAUUGUACCUCUCUGGUCCGGCAUUCUGUGGUCCGGAAACUCCCGUGGUCCGGAACGAUUUUAGUUUGCCCAAUAGCCAACAUCCCUGAUGUAACUCAAAUGUAAUUUGAGUUAUAGUCCCAUCACUUCACAUUGGAAACAGAAUUAUGGUAGCAUUAAAGGUAAAUGAAAUAGUAUUUUAACAGUAUUACUUUUUCUUAUUUAUUUAUGUCCUAUCUUAUGUUUUUAUGCUUUAUGUACGUAGGGUGUUUCGAGGGUGAAUUUCCAUGGUCCGGAAAUUUCCAUGGUCCGGCACCGGUCAGGUCCCGAGGUUGCCGGACUAGAGUGGUACAACCUGUAAUCAGUGUGAGCUUCCACAAUGGCACUGACUCUUCUUCCCAACAAUGCCAUGACCUUCACAGAGAACCAGCAUGGCACGGCUGUCCUGGAAAAGUUGCGAAACCAACGUGAACUUAUACGGUGCUGUGACGUCAUUCUCCACGUGGCAAGAAGGCAGUUCCAGGCUCACCGCUGUGUCCUGGCAGCCUGUUCUCCAUAUUUUGACUCCAUUUUUAAAGCAAGUAAAACUGUCAAGGAGCAGCUCACCAUCAGCUCCCAGGACCCAGAGGUUUUCCGUUGCCUCUUGGCAUACAUGUACACCGGAACAGUGGUUGUAGAUAAAACCAAUGUGGCAGAACUGUUGCGUCUAGCCAACAAGCUCCUCAUUGCCAAGUUGAAGGAACAUUGUGCAGAAUACCUUGAAAGAUACUUGGAUGCAACAAAUUGUCUCACUGUGCGGGACAUGGCUACCAAGUUCAACUUGGAAGCUUUAGAAAAAACUACUGGAACUUUCAUCCAAGCCCAUUUAUCUGAUAUUAUUGAGGGCGAGGAAGUACUUGAUCUAUCACACACCAGGUUGGAGGAUUUCUUGAGCAGUCCUAGCUGGCAGUUGCAUGAAGACCAGACUCUGUUGUUGGUGACUCGAUGGGUCCACCGUUGUCCACAAAAUCGCGAGCGUAACCUGCGUAGCCUCCUGACGUGGGUACAAUGGUCCUGUCUCAACCCACAGACAGCCAUCUACCUCAUCCAGACGCACCCACUCUACACUAAUCCAAAUUCACUUCUGGCGUUAUUUUUUCUCCUGGAUUCUCUCAACGAACAUUCUUUGCUACCUGCCGACUUACUUGCACCUUUCUCAAAGCUGAAGGCGAAGUUUUGUCAAUCAACAGACUCUGUUGUUGAUAAUGAAAGUUUCCUGAGUCUUGCAAUAUCUACUGCAAUUGAUAAGCUUCAGGAUGACCAGAUUGGCAGUGGGAGAAGCCAGGAAACUCUCCCAAGUGUCAGUGAUUUUUCUAACCACACUGUUCCACCUCCACAAGACCUUACGUCAGACACCGAGGAUGAUCCGGCUAACCAGUCUUCCUUGCAGUCACACCACAAAAUUAGUGACUUUCACAACUCAAGAAGAGGAUGUGAUGGCCAAGAAGAGGAACAACACAACCAGUAUGACAUGUGUCAUAUUGGUCAUAGUACCCAGGACGUCCAUAUUAACCAGCCAAAUUUAAUUUUUUCUCAUCCGCCUUCUGCAUCCAAUGCUGCUGGUUGUCACUCACAUGUUUCUGAAGAUUCUGUCGGGGAUACAACUACAACAGAUGACAACAAAUUUGCCUGUAAUAACCAAGGGCAUUUUGGUCAGUCUUUUGUAAGAAAUAUGGCCGUGUGGCAUCAGGAGCCUCCUUAUGGUGCUGAGGAAUCUCUCUCUUCAGACUCAAGUCACAUGUACCAAAGACAAGUUUAUGAUCAAAAUUUCAGUAUGAAAGUUCCCUGCUCUGAUUCUUACACUUCAAGAGUUAAUCCUUCUGGUGUUUACCCUAUGAGAGAAAAUCCUCUUAAGAACAAACAAGGCUUUGCCAGUGCAGUGUCUUAUUAUGUCAGUACGUAUAAUCCUGAAGAUGACAUGACUGUCUCAGAUGACCAGAGUACUCAGUCAUUUCCCUAUGAUGAGAAUUUUAAUCCAGCCAUUAAUUUUUACCCUUGCAGAUCGGGUGAUGUAAAAGACACGCAACACAUAAUGAUUGAACCUCAUCAUAAUCAAGAAAAUUAUGCAAAAUCUUAUUACCACGAUGAGUCGACAACCACGCAGGAUAUUAACUGUAAUCAGCGCGAUAUAUAUUACAACGAAAAUUCAACAGAUACUCAGAUAUCUAACUGUCCACAAGACAUGACUGUUCAGCAUCAGUUCCCUCAGUGUUCAGAAGUGAAGCAGGAAGUAUCUCAGAAUCAAGAGUUUCCAGAAAAAGUUGUAGAGUCAACAGAUACCUCACUAACAAAUGCUGUACCAGAGAGAUUCCUUGCUGAUGAGUCACAUUAUGAGCACUAUCCACUAAAAAACAGUGCUGCUGACAAGUUCCACAGAGAAAUGAACAGGCUUGGGGAGGAAUCAUUGUUGGCUCUGGGGCCUAGAGAGAUGUCCACACAGGAUCUCUUAUUGGAUGGGAAGAGAUUGUCAUCAGAAUGUGGCAUAGAAACGAGAGGCAUAUUUACCCUUGUUGGAGGCACCGUAGAUGGAGAUCGCACAUACAAGGGGUGUCCAUCAGAGUGUUUGGAUGGAGAUCGGGUAUAUAAGGGAUGCAGCUCAGAUGUAAGAAAUAUUUUAACAGAGAGUGAAACAUCAACAGACAACCAAAGAAAUCUUCAAGACGACAUUUCCAAAGCCGUCCCAGCCGGACUACGCCUAUUUGUACCACCACGUCAGGUCAAGUUUAAGAUCAACCGUAGUGUUAAUUCAUCCGGCUCAGGGUUGGUGUCAGACGCCAGGCAGGACAUAGGAGUUUCAUCAGAAGCAUCUCUGCCAAGUACUACUGCAGUUAAUAGUAUUGAUAUGCUUCACUUGAAAACAGAGGAACUCAACCCAGAUGACCCCAAUGAAGUGCUUCAGGAAGAUGUAAUAGAUGGCUUAGAAAAACAGGACAUAAAACAAGUUGCUGGUAAGAAACAUGAUACUAAAGACUUGACAAUUACACAAGUCAAUAAAUUCAAAGAGGUUAAUGAGGAGAGUGAAACACCAUCAGCUGUCAACAAGGAGCCAUUGAGAAGAACCAGUAGAAGAGUCAAGUUGAUAGAGAAGGUUAAAGCUGAAGUUGUGAAGACAACACCAGCUUCAACUGAGAGAGUUUGUGAGCUGUGUCAAGCCUCAUUCCCACUUACAAAGGAAUAUUUUGUGCACAUGAGGGAGCACUUCCCAGGCCCUCCUCAUUGCUGUGACACUUGUGAGGCAUCCUUCAAGCGCAUUUAUCACCUGCUAGAGCACCGCGUCAUUCACCAGGAGACCAAGACCCACAAAUGUCCACACUGUCCCUUCAGCUCACACAAGAAGUUCAACUUAAAUGAACACUUAACACAACACUCUAAAAAUAGAAAGUAUAAAUGCAAGAUCUGUGGUGACCUAUUCUUUCGAAUACAAGCUAUGCAUUAUCAUGAAACAAAGCACACUAUGGAGCGUCCAUUCUUAUGUGAGACAUGUGGCUGGUCAGGGAAAACUAAAAAUGCUUUGGUUUUACACACCAAGUUUCACACUGGUGAGCUGCACAGAUGCCAGUUCCCAAAUUGCAAUUAUACAACAGGCAAAAAGUCUCAUCUCAAAGAACACAUGCAACACCAUUCUAACAGCCGGCCGUUUGUUUGUGAUGUCUGUAACAGGACUUUCAUCACCAACAGCCACCUUCAGAGGCACAUGAAGUUGCACCUCCCUGAGAAACUAAAUAAGUGCCCACAGUGUGAUUAUUGUUCUCCAAGACCGGACCGAUUAAAGGCAGACAUAUUUUCAGACCUGGAGAACACCAAUGUAUCUCUACAGCCUCAGUUGCCUGGUACUCCUCCUCCAACCACCCUGUCAGAAUAUCCCCCCAGUCCAACAUAUACCUUCCCAGCUCAGUCAGCUCCUGAUGACCCCCUCAUGAUUGUUCCUGAUAUGAGCUCCGUCACUGAGGGAUUCAACCCGCUCCCUCAAGCUUCUCCGCUACAUCGUAACCUCGGGCCAAGCCUCAACUAUGAGGAGAGUUACCACAGCCCACAGUACCAGACGUCUCCAUCACACUUUGCAGCACUGUCACCCACACAUGCCGCACUCUCAUAUGCUAAUGGACAUCACCAAGAAGGGAGUCCAUUAAAUUUUGCUGCCUAUAUGAAAUAUUAAUUAACUUAAAGUGCUUAUAGCUAUGGAUGGUCAUCUCUCUGAAUGUCACAUAAUCAACGCUGGAGUUCCUCAGGGCUCUUAUUUUACAUUGAUGAUAUGCAGUGAGUCUAGAAGCUAGCAAGAGUGAAUAGUCCAUCAACCUUUAGGACAUCAACUCUUAAUGACUCAGGAAUGCCACCCUUGACACCUAUGUCACCUCACAACACUGACUCAGAGUAGCCACCCCAAGAGGCUGGGGAGUCGAAGGAGAAUACAGCUUCAGGCCUAAAAACAAAAAGGUUAGCUCAUUACUGUUUUACAUUACUCUUGCAUUUUUAAUGAUAUUUUCCUGUUUUUGUGAUGGUUAUAUUUCAUAUAGCAUCUAAAGAGCACAUAUAUUUAACAAAGAAGGGUUUAGUAAUGCAGUAAAAAAUAAUCAUCCACUCCACCACCUAACUCUUGUGCCUGCCUGGAUCCUUUCUGCACAGUCAGUCAUUUGGGGUGGAGGUGGGGGAAUGGUCGACUUGGGAGAGGGCCGUUUGUUGGGGUAUGUGAUACAAGUUACUCAUCAGAGAGGGAGGGGAUUGAAGAAAGCAGGAAAAUUCAUGAAAGAAAGAAGGGAAAGAUGGAUUUAUUUACUAUAUUAUCUUAGGUUUACAUGCUUGAAAAGGGAAUAUGACGAACCUUAUUUUAUGAUUAUGUGCCAUUCAUUUAUAAUUUUUCUGGUUGUUCAGGUUUUAAACAACGGUUAUUAGAUAUUUAUAAUAACGUUGAUUUAAGGAGAAACAUUGAAUACGAGGAUGAAAACACCCAGGAA
RNAcentral lists this unclassified non-coding RNA (6636 nucleotides) under Homarus americanus (American lobster). RNAcentral's name for it is "uncharacterized LOC121879221, transcript variant X6". The record is from RNAcentral. Lineage: Eukaryota; Metazoa; Arthropoda; Malacostraca; Decapoda; Nephropidae.